CCUACGGGAGGCAGCAGUGGGGAAUAUUGGGCAAUGGAGGCAACUCUUACCCAGCAAUGCCGCGUGAAUGAAGAAGGUCUUCGGGUGGUAAAGUCCGUUAAUGGGGGACGAAAAAGAUGACAGUACCCAAGGAAUAAGCCGCGGCCAACUACGUGCCAGCAGCCGCGGUAAGACGGAGGGGGCAAGCGUUGUGCGGAAUGACUGGGCGUAAAGGGUGUGUAGGCGGUGUAGCAAGUUAGAAGUGAAAUACCUAGAGCUUAACUCAGGUGCUGCUUCUAAAACUGCUGUACUUGAGUGCGGUAGAGGAAAGUGGAAUGCCUGGUGUAGCGGUGGAAUGCGUAGAUAUUAGGAGGAACAUCAGUGGCGAAGGCGACUUUCUGGCCCGUAACUGACGCUGAGGCACGAAAGUGAGGGGAGCAAACAGGAUUAGAUACCCUUGUAGUC
RNAcentral lists this ribosomal RNA (444 nucleotides) under uncultured bacterium. RNAcentral describes it as "partial 16S ribosomal RNA". It matches the Rfam family "Bacterial small subunit ribosomal RNA", at positions 338 to 795 of the family's 1533-position model. The record is from RNAcentral.